This 407-nucleotide ribosomal RNA is filed under the name uncultured prokaryote. RNAcentral describes it as "bacterial SSU rRNA". It matches the Rfam family "Bacterial small subunit ribosomal RNA", at positions 355 to 776 of the family's 1533-position model. The record is from RNAcentral. RNAcentral also lists the same sequence under 1 other name.
UGGGGAAUAUUGGGCAAUGGGGGAAACCCUGACCCAGCAACGCCGCGUGAGGGAAGAAGGUCUUCGGAUUGUAAACCUCUGUCCUUGGGGACGAAGAAAGUGACGGUACCCAAGGAGGAAGCUCCGGCUAACUACGUGCCAGCAGCCGCGGUAAUACGUAGGGAGCAAGCGUUGUCCGGAAUCACUGGGCGUAAAGGGUGCGUAGGCGGUUAAUUAAGUCAGAUGUGAAAUCCCCGGGCUUAACCUGGGGGCUGCAUCUGAUACUGGUUGACUUGAGUGCAGGAGAGGAAAGCGGAAUUCCUAGUGUAGCGGUGAAAUGCAUAGAUAUUAGGAGGAACACCAGUGGCGAAGGCGGCUUUCUGGACUGCAACUGACGCUGAGGCACGAAAGCGUGGGGAGCAAACAGG